AUGACACAUGACACCUUCCAGCUUCCUGAUGUGUGCCACGCUACCCAGCAGCGUAUAUAUAGACGCCGGCCGUCCAGGCAGCGCUAUCACCGCAGCCAGCCGACCUCUCCUGACCCGCUGACCAGCCGCUCAACAUGCAACCCAAAGGUAGUACCGGGGAGAGCUCUUAGCCCACUGCCCUGCAGGACAGAAAUCUGCUUGGGUAUGGCUGCAAACUACAGGGGAGGGAAGGGAACAGAAGGGAAAGUCCACGAUGAGGGUGGGAGAUGCUCAAAGCCCAGCUGGAGCAGCCCUGCACCAGCUGCUGCAGCCGACCCAGCCUGCGUGCGUGCUCCCCGCGCCUUCCCUUCUGCUGGAACCGGGGCGCUGCAACUCUGUGCCAUCUGCUCCACAGGGGUCUCGCUCAAAAUGAAGCUCCUCUUGCUGUCCUGCGUCAUGAGCAUGGUCCUUGCUGUCGCCAAUGCUCAAGACGACAGCGAUAGUUCUGGGGGGGAGAGCACUGAGGCGCCACCAAGACGACCCAUUUUCUGGCCUUUUCGUCCCAUUAUUCGCCCCUUCCUGGAAAGGCUCAAGGCUGCUCGAUCUUCCUGAUUGUGAGCCUGAGGUGCCUACCUGGAUAACCACGGCUGUCUCCUGCAGGACGCUGCUGCUUCUAGAUGAUCUUCUACUUCCCACCUCUCCUUCACACCUUCUGUCAGCAAUGUGCUGAAAACAGAGGACCACCAACAACAGGGUCCCUGUUUCACAUGCCCACUACUGAAGCUGGCGUGUGUCAAAGUGUGUGUCUUUCAAUCCUUCUCUGCUUAAUUUCUAAAUCUGAAUAAAUGCUGAGCAUCAAAUGACUAAGGUCUCUUAAUUAUUUCUUGGGAAAAAGAAACACAUGAACGUCACUUCAGCGACCCUGCUUGCAAUGACCAUGAGUAGGAAAGGAAGGGAACUCCUGAGGCUGGCUUUGCCUUUUGUCCAUGCUGAGAUUCACAGGCUCUCUCAGGUCUCUAUCUGGCCCUACCAAAUACUACCCAGCCUCCUCUCUGUGCUUUUAAGAGACUAUUUAUCACAAAUACAGCCACUGAAGCCAACACCAGAUUUUAACUACAAUUUAAGACAGCGUUUUUGUAAACAAGAUCCAUGUAAGCUUAAACAGCAACAGAAAGCAUUUACACCGUAAUACUGUACAAGAUAUAAAGUAUGGCGAAAGAAGUGUACAGGGAUUUAAAGGGAACCUCAAGGCUACUAGCAUGUUUUAGACAGAGGCACUCCAAGACAUUAGGAUGUGAGUAACUGUUAAUCCUACACAGGUAUGUAACCAGGGCAUCACAGCUUAUUUCAGUGACAGAUGUAUUUUUUCAUCUCCUAACUAGCUGCAAGUCAUCCCCAGGCUCUCUCAAAAGACACACAGCUCACCACAGUAGCGCUCUGGGCUGAGCGAGCUCUGGAGUCACUUCCCCAAGCUUCCCAUUUCCUCAGGCCAUUUCUGCAAGGAGCUCAAGGCCCCUUCCCCAAAUUGCUGCCUAAGAGUGGCGCUGAUCUUCUCCCCCGGGUCCACCAUCCCCCUAAAGGGGGAAGAUAAAAAAGAAAGAGACACAAGUGCGCAUCCCUAAGGGCUCCCCAGCUGCCCCCCUUUUCAGCAGUGCUGAGGACGCUGCGCCCCCUCGCACCCGGCUGUGGUUAUGGGAGGAGUCCUACAUUUACUUGACAAAAGGAAGCAAACCCCCCGGCUAGGGGAAUUUAAACUCGCAAAAUUAACAUGGGCUAAAGGACACGUGCCCUAAGCACAAGACACUGACAGAAUUAAGCAGCCACUACUCUACAGACAGCAGGCGGCCCCACACAACCACGGGGCACCCACCACCCCCCUGAGGCGCCCAACUGCCGCCCGCCAUUACCCCUCCUCCCCGCCCAUUGGGCGGAGUGCCCGCCCGCUCCGCGCUGCGCUCUCCGAUUGGCUGCCACCUCCCCUGCCCCUCGCUGCUGUCAGGGUCCCGUGCUGCAAGCGCUGCGUACGCUGCGAGCACUGCGAGCACUGCAGGCACUGCGUGCGCUGCAUACACUGAGAGCGCUGCGUCCGCUGCGGGCACUGCGGGCGCUGCGCGCGGCGGGAUGGGGGCGGUGGGAGCGGUGCGGGAGCUGGCGCUGUUCCUGGGCACGCUGCUCUAUGCCUACGCCGAGGCGGCGGUGCGGCUGCUG
This is a long non-coding RNA of Cairina moschata (Muscovy duck), 2187 nucleotides long. The record is from Ensembl. NCBI's taxonomy places the organism in Eukaryota, Metazoa, Chordata, Aves, Anseriformes, Anatidae.